Molecule: long non-coding RNA, 7960 nt
Filed under: Sus scrofa (pig)
Lineage: Eukaryota; Metazoa; Chordata; Mammalia; Artiodactyla; Suidae
Description: lncRNA (ENSSSCG00015013334.1)
Source: RNAcentral
GAGUUGGGGCCAUCUGUCAUGGUUCAACUCACGGGCCACCCUGGUGUUGACAUUCAAAAUGCGUUUUUUUGAGUCAGUCGAGCAAGAUUCAGUUGCAGUGGAAACGCAUUCAGACAGUAAAUUGAUGUUUUCAGUUGAAACUUGCUUCCAAGCCAAGCCCUUGGGUCAUUAUUGGACACUCCUUGUAAAGAUAUGGUGUGACAAAUAACACGCACACCCAUUCAAAUGAACAUUUGGACCCUUAGCUUAAAAAAAAAAAAAAUGAAAAUAAUUAGCCAGACACAUUUUUUGGAUGUUGCUAAACUUUGCAAAGAACAGCAGAAAGAGAUGUUGCAUGUUAAUUGUAACUGGAGGGGAGUUCUGUUCUCCUGAGUUGUUCCGUAGGCAGGGGAGCUGGGGCCAGAAGCCUCUUCUGUGCCACUUGUGAGCUCUGAUCUUGGGUAGGUCACUGGCUGGUACUUCAUCGGAACCUCAUUUGCUUCACCUAGAAAAUGAAACAUACCAAUUCCAUCCACUCCUGGGCCAGAUCUAAGCCUAUAAUGAUGCCAUACUGUUUUUUCAAGUUGCUUUGUGAGUUCGGAAAUGCUUUACACAUUGAGCCAUUAUGACUAAUAAUAAUUAGCAUAGCAAAUUUCUGUUACCUGAGAAUGAACAUACAACAUGCCUUUGUGGCUCAUUUAAAAAUUAAAUGUAUAGCAUGUAUAAUUAUUUUGAAAUACAGAGGUUAAGAAAUUAACUCGAGGAGUUCCCUUCAGGGCUCGGCGGUUAACGAACCCAACUAGGAUCCAUGAGGAUGCAGGUUUGAUCCUUGGCCUCUCUCAGAGGGUUAAAGAUCUGGUGUUGCCAUGAGCUUUGGUAUAGGUGUUAGAUGCAGCUCAGAUCUCGUGUGGCUGUGGCUGUGGCGUAAGCCGGCAGCUGUAGCUCCGAUUAGACCCCUAGCCUGGGAACUUCCAUAUGCCCCCAGUGCAGCCCUAAAAAGCAAAAUAAAAAAUAAAUAAUUUUUUUUAAAAAGUUUAACAUAGAGAAAAAUUUCAUCCAUUGUUCUUUUUUCUUCUGUAAAUUGGGGGAGGGGGAGCUUGCUUGCUUUGGGUUGAGUGUGGGAUGCCUUUGGCCAGCUCAUGAGAUCCGGGUCUGGAAACUACUGAGGCGGCUCAUAGUAAGGCAGGUCUCUUUUGUGAUCUACCCCACAGCUCCUGGCCACACCGGAUCCUUAACCCACUGAGCGAGGCCAGGGAUGCAACCCGCAUCCUCAUGGAUCCUAGUCGGGUUUGUUACUGCUGAGUCACGAAGGGGACUCCUCUGUAUUAAAAUUUUUUACAUUAAUUUUUUUACUGUACUUUUUCUUACACCUUUGGCACCUGAAUUUACUUGCCCACGCUAAAAUACAGAGAAAUACGCUAUCUGCAAUGCAUGUUAAGUACCGAAAAUCAUUUCCCUCAGAGGCAUGGCCUGUUUCACUGGGUCUCCAACCUUGGCCACUCCCCAAUUUGAAGACCACUGGAUUAGGCUCUUUACCAAAUCUGGCCCACUCUCUGUGUUUGUAAAUAAAGUUUUAUUCAGACACAGCUGCACUCACUCAUUUAAAUAAGGCAGCUCGCGCCCUAUGGCAGAGUUGAGUAGUUGCGGUGAGAGGCCUUAGGGUCUGCAAAGCUGAAAAUAUUUAUGAUGUAGUCCUUUACAGAGAAAGUGCCUUGGCUGUACCUGCGGCCCUUGAAGGUUCCCAGGGCUAGGGGAUGAAUCAGAGCCGUAGCCGCCAGCCUACACCACAGCCACAGCAACUUGGGAUCCAAGCCGCGUCUGCAACCUACAUCACAGCUUGUGGCAAUGCUGGCUCCUUAACCCCCUGAGCCAGGUCAGGGAUUGAACCUGCGUCUUAUGGAUGCUAAUCAGAUUCGUUUCGGCUGAACCACGACAGGCACUCCCAAGCUGUCUUUUUAACUGUGAACUUCCCCUGACAUAGCUGCUGAGGCUACCAUUCUGUUGUGACAAGACUCAAUUUGAGCAUUCCCCUUUUUCUUCCAAAUCUGUAGCCAUAUGACAGGCAGGAAAGAAAAUGAUGUUUUUCUUUUCAAGGGAGCAUUAGGUUCUGGUUAAAAAGAAAAAGGAAGGGGAGAUUUGAAGUUAUAUAACCUGGUUCAAAUCCAGCCUUCACCACUGGUUAAUUCCUAUAUUCAGUGUUUCAUUUAUUGUAGUUGUAAGCAUGCCACAGGUGCUAUAGUUAUUAAGCAUCUAGUCAUAGUUGCUGCAGCCAGCAUGUACACCGAAGGUGUCAACAUCUCAUUAUUCUGGAUCCUGUGGGGUCCUGGGUAUCUAUUGCGGUGUAACAAAUUGCUCCCAAACAUGUGGCUUGAACAGGUCUCUCUCCAGGUUUUGUGGGUUAACCGGGCGUAUGGAGACCCUUCUCCCUGGGGUUUCUGCCUGAGUUACAGUCACGUAUGGGCUGGGGCCGCUGCACUCACAGGAGGGGCCAGGGUGGAGCACACUGUGUCUUAUCCACAUGGCUGGCAGUGGGUGCUGGCUGUUGGCUGGGAACGCAGCUGGAGCUGUCGACUGGAGCACAUUGGCUUGUGCUUCUGCAGCCACGGUGGCAGGGUUGCAAGAGGGUGCUUCCCAAGAGGAAUGUUCCAGGAGUCCCAGAGGGAGCUGCUUAUAACCUAAGCCUGGAGCCCCCAGAACAUCAUGUCCCCACAUGCUAGUGGUCAGACAAGUCACCCAGGUUGGCCCAGUUUCACGGGGAAUGUGACCCCCACCUUUCCUCGAGGGACCCUCUAAGCUGUGUGGCCUCUUGAAUCUGACACGUUUGCGUGCAGCGGGGAGCCAGCACACAAUGACGGUUUUGUUAAAUUGCCACAUUAACAAGUUCAGAGCAGAAAAAGAAGCUCUGAUGAUAAGAGAGCUUUUAAUAGGGUGGUUUGGUCUGGAAAAAAGCCAGAGAAAGCUUCUUUGUGGAUGAAUAAGCUGAGCUGUGCAGGUCAAGUGGAGUGAGCCAGGUAAAGAAGGGAGGGCAGGAGACAACCCUUGCAAAUGUCCUGGGGCUGGACUGCAAGAAAGCUGGUGGAGCUAGAGCCCGAGUCUGAGGGAAUUGUGGUAAGAGUUAUGUUGACCCGCUUGGUGGUCCAGUGUCAGUUUUCUCAUUUAGAAAAUAGGAUCAUGUUUCUCGCAUGAGACUUUUGUGAGCAUGAACCUAAGGAUGGGUCGGUAAAGCCUUGCACAGUGAACUUUGUUUCCUCUUGGAAGCAGCAAGUAGCAAAUGCAAGAAGCAUGCCACCUGGCCCGUCUUCUCCAUCCGCUUCUCACUCAUCAUCUCCUUUCUUCAGGGUCAGAACUGAACCUACAGCUCAUGCCUUUAGAGUGGCAAGUGAUCCAUGAAGUCUUACCCAAACUGUGCAGUGCAGUCCUGGGGCUUGUGAAGAGUCCCAGUGAACUCCAGCCAUUGCCUGGCGAUUAUCUGUUUUAAAUGGACAACUGCUGCUGCCUCAGCAGCACCUGGGGGAUUGCACAAAGGCUAAAUUUCUUUGCCUGUUCACAGGGCUGAUUUGCAUGAUUUUCCCCCAACUCUCUCCCCCCACCUGACCAGCUGUAGUUAACAGAUGCAUGCACUUGCAGCACACAGGACAUCCCCAACAAGAGAGAAUGUUCUGGUCCAAAAUGUGAGGAGUGCUAAGUCCAAAAGACCCCGCUCUUUUCCCAUCAUCUGGCACUUUCCUCUUGCUCCUAAGUCACCCUUGCUCUGGCUUCCUGGUGGUUCCCCCAGAUGCACCAAGCGCUGUCUUAUUUCAGAGUCCUCACAACUGCUAUUCCUUCUCCUCUGUCUGUUUUUCCCCAAAGUGGCCUUCCCUGGUCUCUAGGUCUCAGUGGGCCCCCACAACCGCUUCUGCUUUCUCUUCAGAGCUCCUGCCUCAGUCUGCAAGGCUCCAUUCAUUUUUGCCACCACCCUCUGUGACCCUCCCUCCCGCCAGUCUGCAGGAGCAGCAAAGAUCUGGAUCACAGCUGUCUGGCUCACUGCUGUGUCCCCAGCUUCUGGCCCAGGGCCAGACACAUAGCUUGUUGAAAUUGGGGGAGGUUGAAAGUGAGGAGAGGAGAGGUUUUAGGACCAAAAACCUUGGGAGUUCCCUGGUGGCCCCGUGGAUUAAGGAUCCAUUAUUGUCACAGCUGUGGCUUGGGUUUGAUCCCUGGCCUGGGAACUUUUGCAUGUUGCGGAUGCAGCUGAAAGAAGACUCAGAAAUCCUGGCUUCAGGUACCAAUUUCUAGCCUUGUGAUUUGGAGGAUACUUCCUCAAGCUCUCUGAGCCUCAGUUUUCUCAUCUGUACAAUGGGGUGAUCAUCACCCCCCUGACGGGCUUGCUGUGUGAGGCUCGUUUUCAGUGAUAUGUCGUGACGGCUGAAUAAACGGUAUACACCUUGGGAUGAUCUUUCCUCCCCAGGGGGCUGGUCCUGAUGCCCCCGGUUCGGGAGGCGGAGGCGGAGGGAGGAAUGGGAGCGGUUAACACCCAGACAUCCCUUUCUAGGCAGCUUCGCUUACCAGUGUGCCCUCCUCCUCGCCCCACUUCCGGUGUCGGGGCUCCUGUUGUGCAGGUGAGGAGAGGCAGUUCGGGGUGGGGGCGGCUGAGCUGGGCCCCCAGGGAGUCGGUGGCUGACGUGGGAUUCAAGCACAUCCAGACGGUCUGGCUUUUAGAAUCUUGCCCAGGAUGCUGAGCUACCCUUCUGGGAUUUGUUUCUCACCUCGCUUUGCAGAAAUGUUCCUUUUCUCGUUUCUUGUUUGCGUGCAGCAGGGCUUCCUGUGGUUGCAGUCAAGACAAGCCGAUUCGUCAAAGGGAGUUGAGGCUGGGGGUGUGGGGAGGGCAGGACACUCAUAAGGGGACCCGCCCACACGCUGGCGGCACAGAACCUUCACGAAGAUGACUGCGUGCCGACCCGGGGAGGCCGGGCCUAUGGAGAGAAGUUUCCCGUAACGGUUUCCUUAGAAAUAGGGCGGAGGGAGGGGACCUUCCAGGCCAGAGCCUUUACUGGGGUUUCUGAGGGCAAGGCGAGGUGGGGGCGGAGUAAACAGCUUGUGGCUGGCUGGUUGGAUCCUUCUAGACAGCUCUAGACUACAGCGAUGGCCUCUAGUUGCCUGAAACCUGGCCUGGGCAUGACCGAGGGCAGGGGGCAUGCUGGCUUGGUAAGGCGGUCCUUGGGGGUGCAGGCUGGUUUGUGUAUGGACGCCAGGCUCCCCUCGGAGCCCCUGCUGUUGCUCAGAGCUGCUCGCCUCUGCGGGGUGGGGAGCAGCCUCUCCCCGUCAGUGAGGCCCUCACCUGCCAGAGCAUCAGGGAUACAGCAAACAAGAAAAUGUCAUUAAUGUAACUGGCCUUGGGGUUCCCAUGGUGGCUCAACCGACACGAAUCCGACUGCUGUCCUUGAAGAUGCGGGUUCGUUCCCUGGCCUCGCUCAGUGGGUUAAGGAUCUGGCAUUGCUGUGGCUGUGGUGUAGGCCAGCAGCUGCUGCUCCUAUUCGACCCCUGGUCUGGGAACCUCCAUAUGCCGUGGGCACAGUCCUAAAAAGCGAUGUAUACAUUGCUGGCCCUGUGAUGGGAAUGCCAGCUCAACAAAGGAUCUAAGAAAACACAGAGCGUCCCCCUUCCUUGCUCACGUUUGGGCCCAGGGAGUCCAGCCUGGGACCCCCAGAGUGCAGACGUGUGCUCUGUUGAUUCUUGCCUGUAUCUUGUCAUCAGAAAAGUACCUGUUUUCUGAGGAUAGAACACAAGGUCCUUGGGCACAGAUGGCAUGACAUUGCUGUGCCUGUCUGGGCUGCGUGUGAGGAGUGCCUGCUGUGUGGCACGCUCUGGGUCGGGUGGCGCUGGAGUAUAAUGUGAGCGGUCAAGCUCAUUCCCUGACCUCCAGGCACUUGAAGUCUAGUGGGAGAGACUGAGGUUGGUGACACUGUGCAGCAGGUAGGUCCGUCUGGGACAUCGUGGAAGUCUUCCUGGAGGAAGUGACAUAGUAGCUGAGUUGGGAAGGCUAUUUUUAGAAUGUUUGGUGGGAACCGUAAGAAGGGGAAAAUGAGAGUUCCUGCUGUGGAGCAGCGUGUUUAGGAUCUGACCUUGUCUCUGUGAUGACAUGGGUUUGACCCCUACCUAGCAGAGUGGGUUAAGGACGUGGCAUUGCUGUGGCUGUGGCAUAGGUCACAGCUACAGCCUAGAUUAAAUCUCUGGUCUGGGAACUUCCAUAUGCUGUGGGCGCAACUAUUAGAAACAUAAACUAGUAAAGAAAGAAGGGGCAAAUGGGAUGUAGCACCCCCAAAUGCACUUUUCUUGCAGUGUUUGAAGAACCUGUGAACAACUCCGUUCCAAGAACCAGGACUGGCACCUCCUUUGGGGGGUCAGAUCCAGCCUUUUGUUAAGGCUGGAUGGCUUGCAGGGUGUGCUUUGCCUCAUAGUGUAUCUAAGCUUGAGUAAUAAUGAGUUUGGGGCAAAGAGGGGGUAGUGUCACUAUAGGUAUUCACCUGCCAGCCACACUCCGCCCACGUUAAUCACUGGAGUAAAGACUGAACAUAGAUGAACGUGAAACAUGGGCCGGAUUGCAAAUCAGGUGUCAGGUUUGACAAGCUCCUCCCCAGCGGUAGGACCAUGGGGAGGUAGACACACCCCUGCUGCGCUGUUUCUUGUCUGCAACAGCAGAUGUCAUUAGAUCUCCCUGGAGCCCCAUCACUAGGCCCCCACCUUCCAGGAUGGCGGAUGGCGUGUGACUGGGAGAACCAGAGUUAGAGGCCACGCCAUUGCCAUCGGGGUCGGGGAAGAGGACUUGGAUGACUUAGAUUCUUGAGAGCCUCUCUGCCUUCGCCCUUCCCUGCUCAUCUCAAAGUGAGUCUCCCCCCCCCCCCCCCCCCCCCCGCGCCAAUUCUUGGUAUUUGUAAGGCUGGAAUUUGGUUGUCAUAGCAUUUAAUCUCUUUACAUGGGCUUUCUUCUAGCUUCUAAGUACACUGUGGGCAAUGUGGUUGAGUUAAGCCUGGGCUUCUGGAAUCCUUGGUGUGACUGUGUGUGUGUGUGUGUGUGCGCGCGUGCGCGCGUGCGGUAGGAGCACCUCUCAUGGAUGUGAGCGCUCUGCUCUCCACAGCUCCUGUUCACAUAGUUUCUCAUGUGACUGAGUGAUUCCUGAGACUCAGGCUGAACUGUAGCCAUGAAAAUGCAGACUCUACCUCAGCAGGAUACAGGGUACAGACCCUCACCUCCAGGAUCUGUGCAGAGCAUUUGGGGGGGCAUUUGGGCCCCCAGAGACACCGUCUUGCACGUACAUCUCACAUGUGCCCUUCAAGCCAAGUUGCUGUGAGAUAGAGGCUCUAGGCCCCUGCCCAGUGUAAACAUGAUUAUGGCUCCGCGAGUUAAGAAUCUGACUAGGAUCCAUGAGGAUGUGGGUUCUCUCCCUGGCCUUACUCAGUGGGUUAAGGAUCUCGUGUGGCUGUGGCAUAGGCCUCAGCUGCGGCGCUGAUUUGACCCCUAGCCUGGGAACUUCAUUUGCCGCAGGCGUGGCCCUAAAAAGAGAAAACCAAAAAAACACCGUGAUUAUAUUGCAGUAAGGGCAGAGCCUGUUCCUCUAUCACAUUCCCUUGAGCCCCAAGUCGAGGAGUUUGAAAGAGUUUUCUAAAAGGAAAGAAAACAGCCUUUUCACCGUAGGCUUCCUUGGCGCCUACUGCUAAGAGCCAGGCAGAGUGUCAGGGGAGCUUUCAUGAUUGAAGCAGCUGGAUCAGGGAGUUCCUUUUGAGGCUCAGGGGUAACGAAUCCGACUAGUGUCCAUGAAGACUCGGGUUCCAUCCCUGGCAUCGCUCAGUGGUUAAGGAUCUGGCGUUGCCAGGAGCUGUGGUGUAGGUCAGAGAUGCGGUUCAGAUCGUGCAUUUCUGUGGCUGUGGCGUAGGCUCCAAUUUGACCCCCAGCCUGAGAGGAUCCAUAUGUCGCAUGUGCAGCCCUAAAAAGCAAAAAAAAAAAAAAA